This 332-nucleotide ribosomal RNA is filed under the name uncultured bacterium. Its description in RNAcentral is "bacterial SSU rRNA". It matches the Rfam family "Bacterial small subunit ribosomal RNA", at positions 568 to 898 of the family's 1533-position model. The record is from RNAcentral.
CGCGUAGGCGGCAUUGCAAGUCAGAUGUGAAAGCCCCGGGCUUAACUCGGGAAUUGCAUCUGAAACUGCUUUGCUUGAGUCCUGGAGGGGGUAGUGGAAUUCCCAGUGUAGCGGUGAAAUGCGUAGAUAUUGGGAGGAACACCAGCGGCGAAGGCGGCUACCUGGACAGUGACUGACGCUGAUGCGCGAAAGCUAGGGGAGCGAACGGGAUUAGAUACCCCGGUAGUCCUAGCCGUAAACGAUGGGCACUUGGUGUCGGGGGUAUUGAGUCCCCCGGUGCCGGAGUUAACGCGAUAAGUGCCCCGCCUGGGGAGUACGGUCGCAAGACUGAA